UCGUCCAUGAUCUGCUGCUUCCUGACAGGGUCCAUAGCCAAUGUGUCAAAAGUGCUGGGGUGCUUAAACGGGACAGACUCCCACGGAUGCCCUCUCGAAUCCAAAGAUCCGCCUCGCGAGUUCGUGUACAGUAGCCUGUCUUGAUUCUUCCUUCGAAUCUCAUUGGCUUUCUCCAUUAUGUAAUCGAGAUACGAAUCGAGAACCAACGACUUGUCUUUCUUUUUAAUUCGCAGAGUGAAGCCACGCUUCUCCUCCGGCAAUGGUCGCCAAGAGAAGGUCUGAGACUGCCUCUGCGUCACCACGUGCUCCCAGAGGACCGUAACGCCAUUGAAGGUGUCA
Molecule: long non-coding RNA, 339 nt
Filed under: Carica papaya (papaya)
Lineage: Eukaryota; Viridiplantae; Streptophyta; Magnoliopsida; Brassicales; Caricaceae
Description: long non-coding RNA (CPAP_LNC006981)
Source: RNAcentral